GGUUAAGCGACUAAGCGUACACGGUGGAUGCCCUGGCAGUCAGAGGCGAUGAAGGACGUGCUAAUCUGCGAUAAGCGUCGGUGAGGUGAUAUGAACCGUUAUAACCGGCGAUUUCCGAAUGGGGAAACCCAGUGUGUUUCGACACACUAUCAUUAACUGAAUCCAUAGGUUAAUGAGGCGAACCGGGGGAACUGAAACAUCUAAGUACCCCGAGGAAAAGAAAUCAACCGAGAUUCCCCCAGUAGCGGCGAGCGAACGGGGAGGAGCCCAGAGCCUGAAUCAGUGUGUGUGUUAGUGGAAGCGUCUGGAAAGGCGUGCGAUACAGGGUGACAGCCCCGUACACAAAAAUGCACAUAUUGUGAGCUCGAUGAGUAGGGCGGGACACGUGGUAUCCUGUCUGAAUAUGGGGGGACCAUCCUCCAAGGCUAAAUACUCCUGACUGACCGAUAGUGAACCAGUACCGUGAGGGAAAGGCGAAAAGAACCCCGGCGAGGGGAGUGAAAAAGAACCUGAAACCGUGUACGUACAAGCAGUGGGAGCCUCUUAAUGGGGUGACUGCGUACCUUUUGUAUAAUGGGUCAGCGACUUAUAUUCUGUAGCAAGGUUAACCGAAUAGGGGAGCCGAAGGGAAACCGAGUCUUAACUGGGCGUUAAGUUGCAGGGUAUAGACCCGAAACCCGGUGAUCUAGCCAUGGGCAGGUUGAAGGUUGGGUAACACUAACUGGAGGACCGAACCGACUAAUGUUGAAAAAUUAGCGGAUGACUUGUGGCUGGGGGUGAAAGGCCAAUCAAACCGGGAGAUAGCUGGUUCUCCCCGAAAGCUAUUUAGGUAGCGCCUCGUGAAUUCAUCUCCGGGGGUAGAGCACUGUUUCGGCAAGGGGGUCAUCCCGACUUACCAACCCGAUGCAAACUGCGAAUACCGGAGAAUGUUAUCACGGGAGACACACGGCGGGUGCUAACGUCCGUCGUGAAGAGGGAAACAACCCAGACCGCCAGCUAAGGUCCCAAAGUCAUGGUUAAGUGGGAAACGAUGUGGGAAGGCCCAGACAGCCAGGAUGUUGGCUUAGAAGCAGCCAUCAUUUAAAGAAAGCGUAAUAGCUCACUGGUCGAGUCGGCCUGCGCGGAAGAUGUAACGGGGCUAAACCAUGCACCGAAGCUGCGGCAGCGACACUAUGUGUUGUUGGGUAGGGGAGCGUUCUGUAAGCCUGUGAAGGUGGCCUGUGAGGGUUGCUGGAGGUAUCAGAAGUGCGAAUGCUGACAUAAGUAACGAUAAAGCGGGUGAAAAGCCCGCUCGCCGGAAGACCAAGGGUUCCUGUCCAACGUUAAUCGGGGCAGGGUGAGUCGACCCCUAAGGCGAGGCCGAAAGGCGUAGUCGAUGGGAAACAGGUUAAUAUUCCUGUACUUGGUGUUACUGCGAAGGGGGGACGGAGAAGGCUAUGUUGGCCGGGCGACGGUUGUCCCGGUUUAAGCGUGUAGGCUGGUUUUCCAGGCAAAUCCGGAAAACCAAGGCUGAGGCGUGAUGACGAAGCACUACGGUGCUGAAGCGACAAAUGCCCUGCUUCCAGGAAAAGCCUCUAAGCAUCAGGUAACAUCAAAUCGUACCCCAAACCGACACAGGUGGUCAGGUAGAGAAUACCAAGGCGCUUGAGAGAACUCGGGUGAAGGAACUAGGCAAAAUGGUGCCGUAACUUCGGGAGAAGGCACGCUGAUAUGUAGGUGAAGCGACUUGCUCGUGGAGCUGAAAUCAGUCGAAGAUACCAGCUGGCUGCAACUGUUUAUUAAAAACACAGCACUGUGCAAACACGAAAGUGGACGUAUACGGUGUGACGCCUGCCCGGUGCCGGAAGGUUAAUUGAUGGGGUUAGCGGUAACGCGAAGCUCUUGAUCGAAGCCCCGGUAAACGGCGGCCGUAACUAUAACGGUCCUAAGGUAGCGAAAUUCCUUGUCGGGUAAGUUCCGACCUGCACGAAUGGCGUAAUGAUGGCCAGGCUGUCUCCACCCGAGACUCAGUGAAAUUGAACUCGCUGUGAAGAUGCAGUGUACCCGCGGCAAGACGGAAAGACCCCGUGAACCUUUACUAUAGCUUGACACUGAACAUUGAGCCUUGAUGUGUAGGAUAGGUGGGAGGCUUUGAAGUGUGGACGCCAGUCUGCAUGGAGCCGAC
Molecule: ribosomal RNA, 2164 nt
Filed under: Escherichia coli
Lineage: Bacteria; Pseudomonadati; Pseudomonadota; Gammaproteobacteria; Enterobacterales; Enterobacteriaceae
Description: partial 23S ribosomal RNA
Rfam family: Bacterial large subunit ribosomal RNA
Source: RNAcentral